UGGGAAACUGCCUGAUGGAGGGGGAUAACUACUGGAAACGGUGGCUAAUACCGCAUAACGUCGCAAGACCAAAGAGGGGGACCUUCGGGCCUCUUGCCAUCAGAUGUGCCCAGAUGGGAUUAGCUUGUUGGUGAGGUAACGGCUCACCAAGGCGACGAUCCCUAGCUGGUCUGAGAGGAUGACCAGCCACACUGGAACUGAGACACGGUCCAGACUCCUACGGGAGGCAGCAGUGGGGAAUAUUGCACAAUGGGCGCAAGCCUGAUGCAGCCAUGCCGCGUGUAUGAAGAAGGCCUUCGGGUUGUAAAGUACUUUCAGCGGGGAGG
RNAcentral lists this ribosomal RNA (326 nucleotides) under Salmonella enterica subsp. salamae. RNAcentral describes it as "bacterial SSU rRNA". It matches the Rfam family "Bacterial small subunit ribosomal RNA", at positions 118 to 447 of the family's 1533-position model. RNAcentral also lists the same sequence under 1 other name. Lineage: Bacteria; Pseudomonadati; Pseudomonadota; Gammaproteobacteria; Enterobacterales; Enterobacteriaceae. The record is from RNAcentral.